UAACAGGGAUUGCUUGCAAUCCACUGACGACCGGCGCACGGGUGCGUAACGCGUAUGCAACCUACCUUCUACAGGGGGAUAGUCAAAUAGAAAAUGUUGAAUAAUACCCCCAUACGAUCAUGAAAUUCGCAUGGAUUUAUGAGGAAAGUUCCGGCGGUAGAAGAUGGGCAUGCGUCCUAUUAGUUAGUUGGUAAGGUAACGGCUUACCAAGACAUCGAUAGGUAGGGGUCCUGAGAGGGAGAUCCCCCACACUGGUACUGAGACACGGACCAGACUCC
Molecule: ribosomal RNA, 278 nt
Filed under: uncultured bacterium
Lineage: Bacteria
Description: partial 16S ribosomal RNA
Rfam family: Bacterial small subunit ribosomal RNA
Source: RNAcentral